GUGUGAUGCGUUCCUCCAUCCCGGGGUAUUUUUAUAUAAUGUCUUGUUAGCUCUUUGUGGCUGAUGAGUGCAUAGAAAAUAUACCAUGAGCACACUGGAUACGACCCGAAAGAUGGUGAACUAUGCCUGAUCAGGUUGAAGUCAGGGGAAACCCUGAUGGAGGACCGAAGCAAUUCUGACGUGC
This 184-nucleotide ribosomal RNA is filed under the name Podonomus sp. CH076B1. RNAcentral's name for it is "partial 28S ribosomal RNA". It matches the Rfam family "Eukaryotic large subunit ribosomal RNA", at positions 741 to 894 of the family's 3401-position model. The record is from RNAcentral. Lineage: Eukaryota; Metazoa; Arthropoda; Insecta; Diptera; Chironomidae.